GACGAACGCUGGCGGCGUGCUUAACACAUGCAAGUCGAACGGAAAGGCCCUGCUUUCGUGGGGUGCUCGAGUGGCGAACGGGUGAGUAACACGUGAGUAACCUGCCCUUGACUUUGGGAUAACUUCAGGAAACUGGGGCUAAUACCGGAUAGGAGCUCCUGCUGCAUGGUGGGGGUUGGAAAGUUUCGGCGGUUGGGGAUGGACUCGCGGCUUAUCAGCUUGUUGGUGGGGUAGUGGCUUACCAAGGCUUUGACGGGUAGCCGGCCUGAGAGGGUGACCGGCCACAUUGGGACUGAGAUACGGCGCAGACUCGUACGGGAGGCAGCAGUGGGGAAUAUUGCACAAUGGGCGGGAGCCUGAGGCAGCAGCGCCGCGUGCGGGAUGACGGCCUUCGGGUUGUAAACCGCUUUCGCCUGUGACGAAGCGUGAGUGACGGUAAUGGGUAAAGAAGCACCGGCUAACUACGUG
RNAcentral lists this ribosomal RNA (468 nucleotides) under uncultured bacterium. RNAcentral describes it as "partial 16S ribosomal RNA". It matches the Rfam family "Bacterial small subunit ribosomal RNA", at positions 28 to 507 of the family's 1533-position model. The record is from RNAcentral.